Molecule: ribosomal RNA, 400 nt
Filed under: uncultured bacterium
Lineage: Bacteria
Description: bacterial SSU rRNA
Rfam family: Bacterial small subunit ribosomal RNA
Source: RNAcentral
UAGCGGGAGGCCUAACACAUGCAAGUCGAACGGGAUUGAGAGCUUGCUCUCAUGAGAGUGGCGCACGGGUGAGUAACGCGUAUGCAACCUACCUAUAACUGAGGGAUAGCCCAUAGAAAUGUGGAUUAAUACCUCAUAGUUCUAUUGGAUCGCAUGAUCUGACAGAUAAAACUCCGGUGGUUAUAGAUGGGCAUGCGUGACAUUAGCUAGUUGGUAAGGUAACGGCUUACCAAGGCUACGAUGUCUAGGGGUUCUGAGAGGAUGAUCCCCCACACUGGUACUGAGACACGGACCAGACUCUUUUGGUAGGCAGCAGUGAGGAAUAUUGGUCAAUGGGCGCAAGCCUGAUCCAGCAAUGCCGCGUGAGUGAAGAAGGCCUUCGGGUUGUAAAGCUCUUUUA